Molecule: long non-coding RNA, 2330 nt
Organism: Oncorhynchus tshawytscha (Chinook salmon)
Lineage: Eukaryota; Metazoa; Chordata; Actinopteri; Salmoniformes; Salmonidae
Source: Ensembl
CCUCCACCAGUCUGCUAUUCCAUCUCCUCUAACCAGUCUGCUAUUCCAUCUCCACUUACCAGUCUGCUAUUCCAUCUCCUCUAACCAGUCUGCUAUUCCAUCUCCUCUAACCAGUCUGCUAUUCCAUCUCCUCUAUAGUCUCCACUUACCAGUCUGCUAUUCCAUCUCCUCUAUAGUCUCCACCUACCAGUCUGCUAUUCCAUCUCCUCUAUAGUCUCCACUUACCAGUCUGCUAUUCCAUCUCCUCUAACCAGUCUGCUAUUCCAUCUCCUCUAUAGUCUCCACUUACCAGUCUGCUAUUCCAUCUCCUCUAUAGUCUCCACCUACCAGUCUGCUAUUCCAUCUCCUCUAUAGUCUCCACUUACCAGUCUGCUAUUCCAUCUCCUCUAACCAGUCUGCUAUUCCAUCUCCACUUACCAGUCUGCUAUUCCAUCUCCUCUAACCAGUCCGCUAUUCCAUCUCCUCUAACCAGUCUGCUAUUCCAUCUCCUCUAUACCCCCCCUGCUCUCUCUCUCCCCAUGACAACCCUCAACCGGAGUGAUGUCUGCUCUAUUCAUGGUAUUUCUAUCUGGCUACUGAACCAGGCCCCGUUAAGGCACUCUAACGGUGUGUGGAUUUAGCCUGGUCCCAGAUCCGUUUGGGCUGUCUUGUCAACUCCUAUGGUCAUUACCUAGCCUGGUCCCAGAUCUGUUUGUGCUUUUCUUCAUAACCAACUAGAACGGUUAAUGACCAUAGGAGUUGACAAGACAGCCCUAACAGAUCUGGGACCAGGCUAGGUAAUGACAAGACAGCCCAAACAGAUCUGGGACCAGGCUAGGUAAUGACAAGACAGCCCAAACAGAUCUGGGACCAGGCAAUGACAAGACAGCCCAAACAGAUCUAGGACCAGGCUAGUGUUGCUUUGGAAACGCUGUGAUCAUAUUAACUGUGAAGUUAGCCCAUUGUUACGUCCUUAUGUCUGUUUUUACUUGAAGCAAGGAUACAUCCCAAAUGGCACCCUAUUCCCUAUGGGCCCUGUUUAAACAGUGCACUAUAAAGGGAAUGGCUCCCUAUGGGCCCUGUUUAAACAGUGCACUAUAAAGGGAAUGGCUCCCUAUGGGCCCUGUUUAAACAGUGCAUUAUAAAGGGAAUGGCUCCCUAUGGGCCCUGUUUAAACAGUGCAUUAUAAAGGGAAUGGCUCCCUAUGGGCCCUGUUUAAACAGUGCAUUAUAAAGGGAAUGGCUCCCUAUGGGCCCUGUUUAAACAGUGCAUUAUAAAGGGAAUUGCUCCCUAUGGGCCCUGUUUAAACAGUGCACUAUAAAGGGAAUGGCUCCCUAUGGGCCCUGUUUAAACAGUGCACUAUAAAGGGAAUGGCUCCCUAUGGGCCCUGUUUAAACAGUGCACUAUAAAGGGAAUGGCUCCCUAUGGGCCCUGUUUAAACAGUGCACUAUAAAGGGAAUGGCUCCCUAUGGGCCCUGUUUAAACAGUGCAUUAUAAAGGGAAUGGCUCCCUAUGGGCCCUGUUUAAACAGUGCACUAUAAAGGGAAGCGGGUGCCAUUUGAGAUGGAACCCAAGACGACGUGUAAAGUUGAAGCAUGAUCUGAUUAGUGUGAACUAAGUAUAAAGCUCUUUGUGAUUGUAUUUCCUCAUUAGAAGUGCAUUUUUUAAUAUAAACUUUGUUUUUCCCCCAUCUCGAAGAAUGUGAUGUUUUCAGUGGCAUUAAGUUUGUUAUAAAUGGGACAAAUAUACAAGGACCAUGAACUUUACAGAUCUUAUCAAGUGAAUUACUAUAUGCAGUAAAAAAAAUAUAAAAAAAAGUAGUUUUAAAAGAAAUGAUGGAACAUAGUUUGAAGCACCUUGUCCAGUGUAGGGAAAUGUUCUGUGUGUGUGUAGAAGACGGGUGUAUUCAUUCCGCUGAUUCUGUUGCAAAACGUUUCGACCUACCUGAAUUUGUCCAAUAGAAACUGUUUGUUUUUCCCCGUCCAUUUCAAUUCAGGCAGUAAAAUGAAAUGUCAAUCCCAAACCUGGCAGAAUUACAGCCAUGUCUUUGUGUGUAGCGAUUUAAAAAGGAAAGAUUCACUCAUUUUUGAUUGUUCUUGUGCAUCUCUGAACGAUGUUCGUAUCGGAGUUAGGAGAAAUACAGCUGGUAUGACAAGUUGAGUCACAACAUCGCAAGUCAAAAUGGGUGAAUCUUUCCUUUGUUUUAUAUGGGACAAACAUACAAGGACUGUGAAUUAUUACUACCUGCAUUAGUCCCUGAGUGUAACUAUUGUUCUUAUGCAGUGGUUUCAGAAUUGCCUUGAGUCUUUUGAAAUAAACAUGGACUUUGUUCACUCAGUGUGAGAUUAGAA